Long non-coding RNA from Xenopus laevis (African clawed frog), 583 nucleotides. RefSeq lists it as uncharacterized. The transcript is spliced from 3 exons. Lineage: Eukaryota; Metazoa; Chordata; Amphibia; Anura; Pipidae. The record is from RefSeq and is a predicted model, not a curated record.
GUUGGGGAGCUGGUAUAGAAAUUCUCAUACCUGACUUCAAAGGCUAAUCUUGCUCUCUUUCAGCAUGGCUCUAAGGGAUCUUCUAAACAACAUACAGCAGUAUGGAUUCCAUGGAAUGCAUAGCAUAAAUAUACUGGGAGAGCACCACUCACAGAUGCUGAUAUCUGAGCAGCUGGUAACUUCAAUGUACAUUAUUAUAACGGUCCACUCUUUCUCUCUCCCAACCCUUGUACCAGAGUGAUAAUGGGAACUCUGGUACAGAGGAUGGCUGAAAGGAAGCAGUGGAGAAUCCGGCUACUGACGGGUGUCUACACACAAGCCAUUCGGUGACGGAAACAAGAAAUGGAAUCAAACAUGCUUCAAUAACUAGUGCAUCAACCCAUUGCACCCAAAGGAUCACAGUUAAACAUCAGUGUUUGGAUAUAGUGAUCUAUAUGUCUUGUCCCUGGGAAUAUGCCAUUAAUCAUGGCACAUUGGCACCCCAAGCAAUUGUAAACAGCUGACAUUGCUGUUAGCUGUAUUUGCACUGAUUAAAAUGCCGUUUUUUUUAGUGACUUGUUUUAAAUAAAGUAAUUAGAAUGUA